UACGUAGGGGGCAAGCGUUGUCCGGAAUUAUUGGGCGUAAAGAGCGUGUAGGCGGCCAGAUAAGUCCGCUGUGAAAUCUCGAGGCUCAACUUCGAGCUGUCGGUGGAAACUAUCUGGCUAGAGUCCGGAAGAGGAGAAUGGAAUUCCUGGUGUAGCGGUGAAAUGCGCAGAUAUCAGGAGGAACACCGGUGGCGAAGGCGGGUCUCUGGGCCGAUACUGACGCUGAGGAGCGAAAGCGUGGGGAGCGAACAGG
This 253-nucleotide ribosomal RNA is filed under the name uncultured bacterium. RNAcentral describes it as "partial 16S ribosomal RNA". It matches the Rfam family "Bacterial small subunit ribosomal RNA", at positions 524 to 776 of the family's 1533-position model. The record is from RNAcentral.